This 74-nucleotide transfer RNA is filed under the name Gammaproteobacteria bacterium. RNAcentral's name for it is "tRNA-Pro". It matches the Rfam family "tRNA". Rfam says of the family: Transfer RNA (tRNA) molecules are approximately 80 nucleotides in length. Their secondary structure includes four short double-helical elements and three loops (D, anti-codon, and T loops). Further hydrogen bonds mediate the characteristic L-shaped molecular structure. tRNAs have two regions of fundamental functional importance: the anti-codon, which is responsible for specific mRNA codon recognition, and the 3' end, to which the tRNAs corresponding amino acid is attached (by aminoacyl-tRNA synthetases). tRNAs cope with the degeneracy of the genetic code in two manners: having more than one tRNA (with a specific anti-codon) for a particular amino acid; and 'wobble' base-pairing, i.e. permitting non-standard base-pairing at the 3rd anti-codon position. The record is from RNAcentral. Lineage: Bacteria; Pseudomonadati; Pseudomonadota; Gammaproteobacteria.
CGGGAUGUGGCGCAGUCUGGCAGCGCACUUGGCUGGGGGCCAAGGGGCCGUCGGUUCGAAUCCGACCAUCCCGA